UACGGAGGGAGCUAGCGUUAUUCGGAAUUACUGGGCGUAAAGCGUACGUAGGCGGCUUUGUAAGUAAGAGGUGAAAGCCCGGAGCUCAACUCCGGAACUGCCUGUUAGACUGCAUCGCUUGAAUCCAGGAGAGGUGAGUGGAAUUCCGAGUGUAGAGGUGAAAUUCGUAGAUAUUCGGAAGAACACCAGUGGCGAAGGCGGCUCACUGGCCCGGAACUGACGCUGAGGUGCGAAAGCGUGGGGAGCAAACAGG
This 253-nucleotide ribosomal RNA is filed under the name uncultured bacterium. Its description in RNAcentral is "partial 16S ribosomal RNA". It matches the Rfam family "Bacterial small subunit ribosomal RNA", at positions 524 to 776 of the family's 1533-position model. The record is from RNAcentral.